Molecule: transfer RNA, 68 nt
Filed under: Arenivaga sp. B097
Lineage: Eukaryota; Metazoa; Arthropoda; Insecta; Blattodea; Corydiidae
Description: tRNA-Pro
Source: RNAcentral
CAGGGAGUAGUUUAUUAAAAUAUUAAUUUUGGAGAUUAAUGAUAGGUAAUAUAUUUACUUUUCUCUGA